GCCAGGUGUAGUAGUGUGUGCCUGUAGUCCCAGGUACUCAGGAGGCUGAGGCAGGAGGAUUACUUGAGCCCAGGAGGUUGAGGCUGCAGUCAGUCAUGAUCAUGCCCCUACACUCCAGCCUGGGCAAUAGAGUAAGACCCUGUCUCAA
Callithrix jacchus (white-tufted-ear marmoset) is the source of this 148-nucleotide unclassified non-coding RNA. It matches the Rfam family "Metazoan signal recognition particle RNA". Rfam says of the family: The signal recognition particle (SRP) is a universally conserved ribonucleoprotein. It is involved in the co-translational targeting of proteins to membranes. The eukaryotic SRP consists of a 300-nucleotide 7S RNA and six proteins: SRPs 72, 68, 54, 19, 14, and 9. The record is from Ensembl. Lineage: Eukaryota; Metazoa; Chordata; Mammalia; Primates; Cebidae.